RNAcentral lists this ribosomal RNA (465 nucleotides) under Vreelandella stevensii. Its description in RNAcentral is "partial 16S ribosomal RNA". It matches the Rfam family "Bacterial small subunit ribosomal RNA", at positions 338 to 795 of the family's 1533-position model. Lineage: Bacteria; Pseudomonadati; Pseudomonadota; Gammaproteobacteria; Oceanospirillales; Halomonadaceae. The record is from RNAcentral.
CCUACGGGGGGCAGCAGUGGGGAAUAUUGGACAAUGGGGGGAACCCUGAUCCAGCCAUGCCGCGUGUGUGAAGAAGGCCCUCGGGUUGUAAAGCACUUUCAGUGAGGAAGAACGCCUGGUGGUUAAUACCCAUCAGGAAAGACAUCACUCACAGAAGAAGCACCGGCUAACUCCGUGCCAGCAGCCGCGGUAAUACGGAGGGUGCGAGCGUUAAUCGGAAUUACUGGGCGUAAAGCGCGCGUAGGUGGCUUGAUAAGCCGGUUGUGAAAGCCCCGGGCUCAACCUGGGAACGGCAUCCGGAACUGUCAAGCUAGAGUGCGGGAGAGGAAGGUAGAAUUCCCGGUGUAGCGGUGAAAUGCGUAGAGAUCGGGAGGAAUACCAGUGGCGAAGGCGGCCUUCUGGACUGACACUGACACUGAGGUGCGAAAGCGUGGGUAGCAAACAGGAUUAGAUACCCGGGUAGUC